GUCCACGCCCUAAACGAUGUCGACUAGGUGUUCGGGAAGGAGACUUCUUGAGUACCGCAGCUAACGCGUGAAGUCGACCGCCUGGGGAGUACGGUCGCAAGAUUAAAACUCAAAGGAAUUGACGGGGACCCGCACAAGCGGUGGAUGAUGUGGAUUAAUUCGAUGCAACGCGAAAACCUUACCUACCCUUGACAUGCCUGGAACCCUGCUGAGAGGCGGGGGUGCCUUCGGGAGCCAGGACACAGGUGCUGCAUGGCUGUCGU
Molecule: ribosomal RNA, 263 nt
Filed under: uncultured bacterium
Lineage: Bacteria
Description: partial 16S ribosomal RNA
Rfam family: Bacterial small subunit ribosomal RNA
Source: RNAcentral